ACGUAAUAGAUACCUGGUAGUCCACGCCCUAAACGAUGUCUACUAGUUGUUGGUGGAGUAAAAUCCAUGAGUAAACGCAGCUAAACGCGUGAAGUAGACCGCCUGGGGAGUACGGUCGCAAGAUUAAAACUCAAAGGAAUUGACGGGGGCCCGGCACAAGCGGUGGAUUAUGUGGAUUAAAUUCGAUGCAACGCGAAAAACCUUAACCUGGCCUUGACAUGCCACUAACGAAGCAGAGAUGCAUCAGGUGCCCGUAACGGGAAAGUGGACACAGGUGCUGCAUGGCUGUCGUCAGCUCGUGUCGUGAGAUGUUGGGUUAAGUCCCGCAACGAGCGCAACCCUUGCCAUUAAUUGCCAUCAUUUAGUUGGGCACUUAAUGGGACUGCCGGUGACAAACCGGAGGAAGGU
RNAcentral lists this ribosomal RNA (408 nucleotides) under uncultured bacterium. RNAcentral describes it as "bacterial SSU rRNA". It matches the Rfam family "Bacterial small subunit ribosomal RNA", at positions 772 to 1174 of the family's 1533-position model. The record is from RNAcentral.